RNAcentral lists this ribosomal RNA (442 nucleotides) under uncultured bacterium. RNAcentral's name for it is "partial 16S ribosomal RNA". The record is from RNAcentral.
GACUACAGGGGUAUCUAAGCCGGUUCGCUCCCCACGCUUUCGUGCCUUAGCGUCAGAAAUGGCCCAGUAACCUGCCUACGCCAUUGGUGUUCCUUCUUAUAUCUACGGAUUUCACUCCUACACAAGAAAUUCCAGUUACCUCUACCAUUCUCGAGUUAUGCAGUUCGAAUAAUAGUCUGUGUGGUUGAGCCACCAGGUUUCACUAUUCGCUUACAUAACCGCCUACGCAACUCUUUACGCCCAGUCACUCCGGAUAAUGCUUGCACCCUACGUAUGACCGCGGCUGCUGGCACGUAGUUAGCCGGUGCUUAUUCAUGAGUUACCGUCAUAUUCUUCACUCAUAAAAGAAGUUUACAAUCCGAAGACCUUCAUCCUUCACGCGGCGUUGCUCCAUCAGGCUUUCGCCCAUUGUGGAAGAUUCCUCACUGCAGCCCCCCGUAGG